This 445-nucleotide ribosomal RNA is filed under the name uncultured bacterium. RNAcentral describes it as "partial 16S ribosomal RNA". It matches the Rfam family "Bacterial small subunit ribosomal RNA", at positions 354 to 796 of the family's 1533-position model. The record is from RNAcentral.
GUGAGGAAUAUUGCGCAAUGGAGGCAACUCUGACGCAGCCAUGCCGCGUGCAGGAAGAAGGCGCUACGCGUUGUAAACUGCUUUUAACCGGGAAGAAACCCCAGGACGUGUCCUGGGUUGACGGUACCGGAGGAAUAAGCACCGGCUAACUUCGUGCCAGCAGCCGCGGUAAUACGAAGGGUGCAAGCGUUAUCCGGAUUCAUUGGGUUUAAAGGGUGCGUAGGCGGAGCGUUAAGUCAGUGGUGAAAUCCUGCAGCUUAACUGUAGACUUGCAAUUGAUACUGGCGCUCUUGAGUGCGCUUGAAGUGGGCGGAAUGUGCCGUGUAGCGGUGAAAUGCUUAGAUAUGGCACAGAACACCAAUUGCGAAGGCAGCUCACUAAGGCGAUACUGACGCUGAGGCACGAAAGCGUGGGGAUCGAACAGGAUUAGAUACCCGGGUAGUCC